AUGGAUUCCGCGAGAAGUUGGUUCCAGAAGUUCCAGCCGCGGGACAAGUCCAAGAGCCCGGCGGUGCCUGCCAGCCAUGGGAAGGAUCCCGGGAAGCCCCCCGUCGACGACGCGCCUUCUAGCGCGACCAAGCAGAAGGUCGCUGCGGCAAAACAGUACAUUGAGAACCACUACAAGACUCAGAUGAAGUCCUUGCAAGAUAGGAAAGAGAGGCGCUGGAUGCUGGAGAGGAAAUUACAGGAUGCUGAAGUUCCUGCAGAAGAGCAGAACAACAUUCUAAAACAUUUGGAGAAAAAGGAGACUGAAUAUAUGCGUUUGCAAAGACACAAGAUGGGGGUUGAAGAUUUUGAACUUUUGACAAUUAUUGGAAGAGGUGCAUUUGGAGAGGUGCGUCUUUGUAGAGAGAAGACCUCUAAAAGUGUAUAUGCAAUGAAAAAGCUUAAGAAAUCUGAAAUGCUUCGUAGGGGCCAGGUGGAACACGUCAAAGCCGAAAGAAACCUCCUUGCAGAAGUCGAUAGUGCGUACAUAGUAAAGCUUUACUAUUCUUUUCAAGAUGAUGAGUUCUUGUAUCUCAUCAUGGAGUACCUUCCUGGUGGUGACAUGAUGACUUUGCUCAUGCGCAAGGACACUCUGACAGAAGAUGAAGCCAAAUUUUACAUCGCAGAAACUGUACUAGCAAUAGAGUCCAUUCACAAGCACAAUUACAUUCACAGGGAUAUCAAGCCAGAUAAUUUAUUGUUAGAUCUCAGUGGUCACUUGAAGCUUUCUGACUUUGGAUUGUGCAAACCUUUGGAUAGCAGUAAUUUUCCAAAUUUGAAUGAACCGGAUUAUACACCUGGAAAAGGUGCUAAACCUUUACCCGAUAACACCAGUCGAUUAACUAACUCUUCUGCACCGAAGCGUACGCAGCAGGAGCAGCUGUCACAUUGGCAAAAGAACCGUCGGAUGUUGGCGUAUUCUACAGUUGGUACUCCUGAUUACAUUGCUCCAGAGGUUCUAUUGAAGAAAGGAUAUGGAAUGGAGUGUGACUGGUGGUCCCUUGGUGCUAUCAUGUAUGAAAUGCUAGUUGGUUAUCCCCCAUUUUAUUCGGAGGAUCCAAUGUCGACCUGCAGAAAGAUUGUGAACUGGAGAAGUCACCUGAAAUUUCCUGAAGAGGCAAAGCUUUCUUCUGAAACUAAGGAUCUCAUUAGCAAACUUCUCUGUAAUGUUGAGCAGAGACUUGGAACAAAAGGAGCCCAUGAAAUAAAAGCACAUACAUGGUUUAGAGGUGUCCAAUGGGAAAAGUUGUAUCAGAUGAAAGCUGCUUUCAUACCAGAAGUUAAUGGCGAGUUGGAUACUCAGAACUUUGAGAAAUUUGAGGAGACUGGAGCACAAGUUCAGAGUUCAUCUAAGGCGGGUCCAUGGAGAAAGAUGCUUCCAUCCAAGGAUGCAAAUUUUGUUGGAUACACGUACAAGAACUUUGAAAUUGUGAAUGACGAUGAAGUUGCCGGGAUUGCCGAGCUGAAGAAAAAGAGUUCCAAAUCAAAACGGCCAACCAUCAAGACAUUGUUUGAGAGCAUGGAUGAAGAUGAACCUGUGCACGGCGGUUUCUUAAAUAUGUUGCCCCAUAAGGAGGGACAACCUUCUUCUCACUCAAGCGCCCCACCAGAACAAUACCAACCUCGACGUAAAUAG
Molecule: ribosomal RNA, 1674 nt
Filed under: Triticum aestivum (bread wheat)
Lineage: Eukaryota; Viridiplantae; Streptophyta; Magnoliopsida; Poales; Poaceae
Description: partial small subunit ribosomal RNA
Source: RNAcentral